Non-coding RNA from Ictidomys tridecemlineatus (thirteen-lined ground squirrel), 72 nucleotides. Lineage: Eukaryota; Metazoa; Chordata; Mammalia; Rodentia; Sciuridae. The record is from Rfam.
GGUAAUGUGGCUCAGUGGUAGAGUGCUUGCCUGGAAUGCAUAAAGCCUGGGGUUCAAUUCCAAGCCCUACAA